This 475-nucleotide long non-coding RNA is filed under the name Pan troglodytes (chimpanzee). Its description in RNAcentral is "long non-coding RNA NONPTRT009360". The record is from RNAcentral. Lineage: Eukaryota; Metazoa; Chordata; Mammalia; Primates; Hominidae.
GGUAAACUGUGUUAAUAACUGUGGGUUCCAGGUCUACAAACACGGUCCUGGGCACAUGCUUUUCAGUGCCUGUCUCACUGAAGAAGGUGUUAAAGGAGUCAUCUCCCCCUCAAAUUGUCUUGUCUUGUCACUUGGCAUCUGGCCAUGGUGCUGGAUGCCAUGUUCCAGGCAGUAGAGUUACCAGCUGGAGCUGCCUGUCUGGACACCAGGCUGGCCAAUGUGGAUGGAGAUGCGCUCACACAUAGUGGCUAAGAGUUAGGAGGCUAAAGCGACAGGAGCAGAUAACGGGUCCAAUGACCGAUCCCAACAAGCUAAGAGUCAAGGCUAAGUUUUAAGGAAGCUUACUACUGCUGUACUGCUUUUGUAAGAGAGUGCCAAGCAGCUGGGGAAACAUGAUACAAGAGGCACUGGUUUUGGAGAAAAGAAAAAGGCAGAAGCUGGAAGACCCUUGGGGCUACUCAAGUGAAGCAGUAGA